RNAcentral lists this ribosomal RNA (253 nucleotides) under uncultured bacterium. RNAcentral's name for it is "partial 16S ribosomal RNA". It matches the Rfam family "Bacterial small subunit ribosomal RNA", at positions 524 to 776 of the family's 1533-position model. The record is from RNAcentral.
UACGUGGGGUGCAAGCGUUGUUCGGAAUUACUGGGCGUAAAGCGUGAGGAGGCGGCUCGCUAAGUCUGAUGUAAAAGCCCUGGGCUUAACCCAGGAACUGCAUCGGAAACUAGCGGGCUAGAGUUCGGGAGAGGGUCGUGGAAUUCUUGGUGUAGAGGUGAAAUUCGUAGAUAUCGAGAGGAACACCUGCGGCGAAGGCGGGUUGCUGGGCUGACACUGACGCUGAGGCGCGAAAGCUAGGGGAGCGAACGGG